This 424-nucleotide ribosomal RNA is filed under the name uncultured prokaryote. RNAcentral's name for it is "bacterial SSU rRNA". It matches the Rfam family "Bacterial small subunit ribosomal RNA", at positions 355 to 796 of the family's 1533-position model. The record is from RNAcentral.
UGGGGAAUCUUAGACAAUGGGGGCAACCCUGAUCUAGCCAUGCCGCGUGAGUGACGAAGGCCCUAGGGUCGUAAAGCUCUUUCGCCAGGGAAGAUAAUGACGGUACCUGGUAAAGAAACCCCGGCUAACUCCGUGCCAGCAGCCGCGGUAAUACGGAGGGGGUUAGCGUUGUUCGGAAUUACUGGGCGUAAAGCGCGCGUAGGCGGACUGUUAAGUCAGGGGUGAAAUCCUGGGGCUCAACCCCAGAACUGCCCUUGAUACUGGCAGUCUUGAGUUCGAGAGAGGUGAGUGGAACUCCGAGUGUAGAGGUGAAAUUCGUAGAUAUUCGGAAGAACACCAGUGGCGAAGGCGGCUCACUGGCUCGAUACUGACGCUGAGGUGCGAAAGUGUGGGGAGCAAACAGGAUUAGAUACCCCCGUAGUCC